RNAcentral lists this ribosomal RNA (374 nucleotides) under uncultured organism. RNAcentral's name for it is "partial 16S ribosomal RNA". It matches the Rfam family "Bacterial small subunit ribosomal RNA", at positions 527 to 896 of the family's 1533-position model. The record is from RNAcentral.
GUAGGUGGCAAGCGUUGUCCGGAAUUAUUGGGCGUAAAGCGCGCGCAGGCGGUCCUUUAAGUCUGAUGUGAAAGCCCACGGCUCAACCGUGGAGGGUCAUUGGAAGCUGGGGGACUUGAGUACAGAAGAGGAAAGCGGAAUUCCAAGUGUAGCGGUGAAAUGCGUAGAGAUUUGGAGGAACACCAGUGGCGAAGGCGGCUUUCUGGUCUGUAACUGACGCUGAGGCGCGAAAGCGUGGGGAGCAAACAGGGAUUAGAUACCCCGGUAGUCCACGCCGUAAACGAUGAGUGCUAAGUGUUAGGGGGGUUUCCGCCCCCUUAGUGCUGCAGCUAACGCAUUAAGCACUCCGCCUGGGGAGUACGGCCGCAAGGCUG